AAGGUAAGGAAGGCGGCGGUGGACUGGUUGAGUGAAGAGAGAGCCCUAGGAGGGUCUAGACUAGGUGGGUCGUGGCGAGGAGGAGCUCGGUUAGGGGAGCGAGCUAGGUCGUCGGUAGAUUUGGAAGGGGAAGGAGUGGAACGACGGUCGGAGACGGGCUCGGGGACAGGUCCUCGAGCGCGGGCUUAGUCCCCUCUCCUCGAGGGACGGUGGCAACUGGUGGUCCGGUCGGGGAGCGCCGGGAGAGGAAGACAAGGGAGAAGGGACGUAGAGAGAGAGGGAUUAGAGGAGUAGAGAGACAUGGAGAUGUCCUCGAGGUCGCGGUACCGGUAGGGCUCAAGCCGGGCGCGUCGAGCCUCUGAGGUUCGGGGGAGCCAGGUCGUCAGGUCCCCCUACGGCGGCACGGGCACGACGUAGGGCGCUUGGGCGACCGCUGGGGCUGGAAGUCUCCUGUACGCGGCGGAGAAAGUCGCGGCAGGUACCGGAACAGAAGCCGGUCAAACUCAGCGGGGGCUGGAGGUGGAGCAGCGAGUGCGGUAGCGGAGGGCGCGGGCCUGCAGCAAAAAGAGCACGAAGGGGCGGAGGACACAGGAGGCCGGCAGGCUCGAGGCCGCUCGGUGGGCGUCCGGCACGAGGAGCGGAACGGAGCAGAGGUUGGUGGUGCCUGACGGCACGGUGGGGAGGCGUUGUUCGAGGCGGCGGCGCGGUAGAAGUCCGCGAGCUCGUGCUCGAGCGGGCGCGGAGCAGAAGGAGGAGCGGCGCGACCAGGUCCUCCGCGCGGCGGGUCGGCGUAGCGGGACAACGGCGCGGACGAAGCGAACCUCGGCGGAGGUGAAACAAAACCGUCUCUUGCCUUGGGGCUGCGGGAGGUGGCGGACCUAGGUACGGCGGGGCCGGAGGUAGCGCGGUAGCGGCCUCAGGGUUCGACGUGCUUCGGUAGCGAGGUAGGAGACGAAGUUCCUCUGCUCGCGGAGCGGGCGCGCAACUGGGGCAGGAGCUGGUCGCGGUUCAGGUCUAGCUAGGGGACGAAGGGACGUAGCUUCCUUGGUCCGCGCAAUUGACGCUGAGCCGGCUGGAGCGGAUCCGGGUGGAGCGGAGCGGCAAACGUCGAGGGUGGAGAUGUGGCUUGCCGGGUUCCGGUAAAUAAGGCUAUUACAACGCAAGCACUCCUAAGCAAGCUGAUACAACCAAGCAGAUGAAGUACCUGAGCAAGAAGGAGGAACGCCCUAAAGUCAACGUCCAUGUCCAAAUACGCUACUAGUACUGCGCUCUCGCUACGAAUGAACAAAACCCUCACGAAGAAGACGAAGAAGAAGCUAGUCCCCUAUCCAAGGUCCAGCCGUCGGACCCGAUCGUCCCACCUACAGCAAACUCAAAGACAAACACUAAGUAGGCAUCUGCCUACUACGAGAAUACAUAACACUACUACAUAAGCACACCGUAACAUACGGAAAACAUACAUAGGGGUAGUUAAUACAUGACAACUACAUUACUAUAGGUGGAACGUUUUCGCAAAGUUAUACGCCCAGAUAGGUAACCACCCUGGAAACUCAAGGAAAACCUAUCCCAGCGUAUAACCCACACUGUUCAACCAUAGUCUCGGAGCUGGCUGGUAUCCUCGGGGGAACUAACAACCGGCAACAACUCAGAUCUUCUUUUGAUAAAACUCAGAAUCCUAAUAUAUAUAACCUCUCAUCCUAAGAAAAAUGAGGAGUCGGGGAAGCAGUGAGACCACUCCAGAGGACAGAUAAUACACCGUAACUUGGCCCCUCAACUCGAGGCUCCACAACAGAAGUGUUAAAAUAGCAACGUUAAGACC
RNAcentral lists this ribosomal RNA (1819 nucleotides) under Triticum aestivum (bread wheat). RNAcentral's name for it is "partial small subunit ribosomal RNA". Lineage: Eukaryota; Viridiplantae; Streptophyta; Magnoliopsida; Poales; Poaceae. The record is from RNAcentral.